GGUGUGAACAAAAGAGGAGACCAUUCUCCUCUUGGGUGAGAGACCUAGAACUAUUCUAGAUUUUUGGGUGAGGAAAAAAUCAAAGAGAAGAGAGUCUUCAUUAAAUUUUUUUUACCAUCCAGUAUCUUUCUCUGAUCCAUCUUCGACAUCAGAAAGGUUUGAGAUGAUCAAAGAAGAAGAUCAAGUCAGAUCUACCAUCAGAAGUCGACUGCGUGAGCU
RNAcentral lists this long non-coding RNA (219 nucleotides) under Elaeis guineensis (African oil palm). RNAcentral's name for it is "long non-coding RNA (EGUI_LNC022892)". Lineage: Eukaryota; Viridiplantae; Streptophyta; Magnoliopsida; Arecales; Arecaceae. The record is from RNAcentral.